CCUACGGGAGGCUGCAGUGGGGAAUAUUGGACAAUGGGCGAAAGCCUGAUCCAGCCAUGCCGCGUGUGUGAAGAAGGCCUUCGGGUUGUAAAGCACUUUCAGUGGGGAAGAAAGCCUUGGGGCUAAUACCCUCGAGGAAGGACAUCACCCACAGAAGAAGCACCGGCUAACUCCGUGCCAGCAGCCGCGGUAAUACGGAGGGGGCGAGCGUUAAUCGGAAUUACUGGGCGUAAAGCGCGCGUAGGCGGUCUGAUAAGCCGGUUGUGAAAGCCCCGGGCUCAACCUGGGAACGGCAUCCGGAACUGUCAGGCUAGAGUGCAGGAGAGGAAGGUAGAAUUCCCGGUGUAGCGGUGAAAUGCGUAGAGAUCGGGAGGAAUACCAGUGGCGAAGGCGGCCUUCUGGACUGACACUGACGCUGAGGUGCGAAAGCGUGGGUAGCAAACAGGAUUAGAUACCCUAGUAGUC
This 465-nucleotide ribosomal RNA is filed under the name Vreelandella stevensii. RNAcentral's name for it is "partial 16S ribosomal RNA". It matches the Rfam family "Bacterial small subunit ribosomal RNA", at positions 338 to 795 of the family's 1533-position model. The record is from RNAcentral. Lineage: Bacteria; Pseudomonadati; Pseudomonadota; Gammaproteobacteria; Oceanospirillales; Halomonadaceae.